This 757-nucleotide ribosomal RNA is filed under the name uncultured bacterium. RNAcentral describes it as "bacterial SSU rRNA". It matches the Rfam family "Bacterial small subunit ribosomal RNA", at positions 216 to 947 of the family's 1533-position model. The record is from RNAcentral.
CGCUCUGUGAGGGGCUUUUACCCUAUCAGUUUGUUGGUGAGGUGACGGCUCACCAAGGCAGUGACGGGUAGGGGGUGUGAGAGCAUGACCCCCCACAUGGGAACUGCGACACGGUCCCAACUCCUACGGGAGGCAGCAGUCUAGAAAUUUGGGCAAUGGGCGAAAGCCUGACCCAGCGACGCCGCGUGAGGGAUGACGUCCUUCGGGAUGUAAACCUUUGUUGAGGGGGACGAUAAUGACGGUACCCCUCGAGGAAGCCUCGGCUAACUCCGUGCCAGCGGCCGCGGUAAUACGGAGGAGGCGAGCGUUGUCCGGAAUCACUGGGCGUAAAGGGUGUGUAGGUGUCCUGGUGGGUCAGAUGUGAAAUCCAACCGCUCAACGGUUGAACUACAUUUGAAACUAUCAGGAUAGAGGACACUAGGGGAGAGUGGAACUCGCGGUGUAGCGAUAGAAUGCGUGGAUAUCGCGAGGAAUGCCGAUGGCGAAGGCGGCUCUCUGGGGUGUUCUUCGUAUGAAGAGCUAUUCGAUUCAGAUCUUCGGAUUAAGAUUGAAUGACCCUGACACUGAAACACGAAAGCUGGGGGAGCGAACGGGAUUAGAUACCCCGGUAGUCCCAGCCAUAAACGAUGUGUACUUGGCAUGUGCUUGUACUAGUGCGUGCCGUAGUAACCUGUUAAGUGCACCGCCUGGGGAGUAUGCUCGCAAGGGUGAACUCAAGGAAUUGACGGGGACCCGCACAGCGUGGAGGAUGUGGUUU